UGGGCUAAAGUCUUGUACACUUCUCCUAAUUCUCACACUCUCACUCUUUGGCUUUCUCACUAUUUCUCUCGAUCUCUCUCUCAGUUUCUUUCUCAUUGAUACUCGAACAUUCCUCCUUAUUGGGCUACUGAUUUUGAUAUCUCUCCUCAACGCAUUUGCUGUAAAAAGAGUAUUCUACCUAAGGGCAUGGAAUAGGAUAUGAUGAAGAGGACAAGGUGCUUGUUUUUCUUUCUUGAAAAAUAAAUGUACCUAAUGAAUCAAUAGCCUAUUUGAUGCCACUGACUAUGAGAUUUUAAGCAAUGCUGAAUUCUUAAAUCCAGGAGGGAGUGUUAAAGAUAGAGUGGUAGCAAAGAUUAUCGAAGAGGUAAUGUGUUCAAGCUCAAGCUAGGGUAGUGAUGAAUUUUCUGACCUUGGAUGGUAGCGACUGAGUCUUGCAAUUUAUGGUAUUUACUGCUUUAACAAGCAUUUACACGGCAAUGCCAAUGCUUUUUAGUAGCUUACAGUUGUUAUUGUGAGUGGAGUAAUUUGAGCAUAUGGAUUUUGAUAAUGUUAAUAUUGUUUAUGCACUACCACUCCAUGGAGAGCCACCUGAUACUCUAUCCUCUAGUGGCUCAGAGAAAUGGGUUGUAAAGAAUGAGCAAUCCAUAGACAUCUUUCUCACUGUACGCAUUGCAUCAAUUUCUCUUAUAUAAAUGAGUUUAUUACAGAUAAAUGUUGUUUAAACAAAAUUUUGGGAGCUGUCUAUAACUAAGACUGAAGGACAUUGAAGACAAAGUUGCAAUUUGCUCAUGCAAUGGUUCGUUUAGAUAUUCUUUGGUUUCUUGAACUUAAUUCCUUUUGUAAACUUACUUUAUGAAUAUGUGAUAUUUGGCCAUGUGUUACUUUUGUAGACCUUUGUUGGCUAAUGUGCAACUCAAUAUGACAUUUGAGUACUUAAUAUGCUAUAUUGGCAUGUAGCUUAAUGCAGCAACUAUUUUUGGUCA
Coffea arabica (coffee) is the source of this 983-nucleotide long non-coding RNA. RefSeq lists it as uncharacterized. The record is from RefSeq and is a predicted model, not a curated record. Lineage: Eukaryota; Viridiplantae; Streptophyta; Magnoliopsida; Gentianales; Rubiaceae.